CCACGGAGCUGGAUCCAGUAAGCGCCGACUGGUUGGUCUGCGUUGAUUACGAAAUCGUAACGCUCUCCAGAGAAGGAGAUAAUUGUGUUGACCUGGAGAGAAAUUGGGUUGAUUUUUGAGAAAAUUAAUUGAAUAUAUAGUCUUUAAA
Molecule: long non-coding RNA, 148 nt
Organism: Cotesia glomerata
Lineage: Eukaryota; Metazoa; Arthropoda; Insecta; Hymenoptera; Braconidae
Exons: 3
Source: RefSeq, a predicted model, not a curated record